Doryrhamphus excisus (bluestripe pipefish) is the source of this 1932-nucleotide non-coding RNA. NCBI's taxonomy places the organism in Eukaryota, Metazoa, Chordata, Actinopteri, Syngnathiformes, Syngnathidae. The record is from RefSeq and is a predicted model, not a curated record.
UUGAACCCUGGUCUCCUAGCUGUGAGGUCUGCGCGCGAUAAAUUAUUUUUAGUGCAAAAUAAAUCAACACAUUAUGGUUUUCAACUGUUUGUCUAUAUGUGCCCUGUGAUUGGCUGCCGACCAGUCCAGGGUGUAUCCCGCCUCUUACCCGAAGACACCUCGUGAGGAUGAAUGAAUGGUUUUCAACCCAAAGGCAGCAGCUGGACCAUUACACCACCAGGGACUGACAGGCUGACUUAGUGCUCUACGCCUCACAGCAGCGAUGUACCCCCUUUGUGCAUUUAGGGCGCCUCUGCCUGAAUGACUGUAGACCUGUACACAACCAAUCUGACAUUUCACCCAAAACUCAUCAGGACUCAUCACUCAUUGGAUAACCAUUAUUGAGCUACAUGAAGGAAAAGGUAUGGAAUACCUGUUGGACAUGUUGUGAGAUGCAGUCCCCAGUGAUCUUCUUCCCAGGACGGACAGGGCGUAUGACAGAGUCACCAGAGGAGAGUCUUCAUCACUUUCCACAGGCUGGACAUAAACACAAACAUCAUGAAGACCCUAGACCAUGAGUGACCUGCUAAUUACACGCAACAACAAUCGUCCGGUGUCCCCGAUUAUUGCAGGUAAUUGUUUCCAGACCCGACAGUGCUAAGUGAAAUUUAGUGAAGUAGGAUUCAGUAUUCACAAAUGAAUAUUUUUAUAGUUAAAGCAUAGAAAACCUGUUUGUGACUUCUAGUAUAUGUUUUUUUAACCAUUUUUAGAGCCCAGUAGGCAUGAAAACAAUGUAAGAGGCCAAAAAUUUACCACUUCCACACGAAAUGGGAGGCUACCUUUUUUUCCCACGGCUGACUCAAUGCACUGUUCAGUACUGGAUCCACUCCAGGUAAACGUUACAGAAGCUGGCCCGCGUCACCCCCUGCAGGCAGUGCACGUAAUCCUCAUCUAUCUUGACGCUGAAGACCUGAGGGUCUCGCUCGAUGUGGUGCCACUUGGUGUAGGAUUGCAGCGCCUCGUAGAUGGCGGCGUCCUUCAGCCAGGUGGACAGUUUGGGCGAGUGGACCAGAUAGUAAAUGAUGCUCUGUAAGGAGAGGGAAGCGUGGAUGAGGACGGACGUCCUGCUGGUGAACUUCAGGUAUGGAGAGGGGUACCUUUAGGUAGUAGGUGAUGAGCAGCUUCCGGAGAUCGUAGACCUGCAGCAUGGUGGCGGCGUUGUUCUCACUGAUGCUGUAGCCCUCCAGCAGGUACUUGGUGGCCGUAACCUCCCACGCCAGCCAGCGCAGGUUGAAGGCGGCGUUGCACGACAGCAUGUGGGGCAAGUGUCCCGGCUCGCAGCAGCAACAGGCGUCGUCUUCCUCCACGCCCUCCGUGAUGGCCUCCACCUCUCGCUGCUGGCAGCCUCUCAACUGGAAGGUGACAAGCCCGUUGCCGAUCUCAAUGAGGUGCACCAGAGCGUUGAGGUAGUCCGAGGCCAGGAUGAAGCAGUCUCCGGCGCUGUAGUUGCCCCAGCGGCCCAGCGUGAGGUCGCCGCAGAGCGAGUGCUGCAGCGAGCGAGUCAGAACUUGAUGGGUCGCGGAUAGGAGGAAAUGAAGAUGGCGCUGCCCAGGAAGGGAGCCAGCGGCGUGUAGAAGACGGUGGUGAUCAGGGUCUGGAGCAGCAGCAUGGCCGAGUCUGAUCAGGAAAGGACCAACAUGAACUGCCAUGAUGGUGCUCGGUGGUCACCUGACCUUGUGGAAGAGGAUGGACAUGACGAAGAAGUCCAGCAGGAAGCUCUCGGAGGCGCGUGGGCAGUCAAAGUGGAAAAAAAACAGUGUGAAGAGCAAAGUCAGGAACUGAAAGCUCGGAUCGCAGAAGGACGAGCGCAGCAGUUUCAUCCCGGCGACCGUUGUCAGGAGGACGUCGCAGCUGCGGGCAAGGAGACACACACAUUCAAUGAUAGUCCUUGGA